Molecule: ribosomal RNA, 459 nt
Filed under: uncultured bacterium
Lineage: Bacteria
Description: partial 16S ribosomal RNA
Rfam family: Bacterial small subunit ribosomal RNA
Source: RNAcentral
CCUACGGGUGGCUGCAGUGAGGAAUAUUGGUCAAUGGCCGGAAGGCUGAACCAGCCAAGCCGCGUGAAGGACGAAGGUGCCAAGCAUUGUAAACUUCUUUUGUCAAGGGACAAAAUCAGGCUCGAGAGCCUGACCGAGGGUACUUGAAGAAACAGCAUCGGCUAACCCCGUGCCAGCAGCCGCGGUAAUACGGAGGAUGUGAGCGUUAUCCGGGUUUAUUGGGUUUAAAGGGUGCGUAGGCGGGCUGUUAAGUCAGCGGUAAAAGCCCGGGGCCCAACCCCGGUGAGCUGUUGAAACUGGCUGUCUAGAGAGGUCGAGAGGCAUGCGGAAUGCGCAGUGUAGCGGUGAAAUGCUUAGAUAUUGCGCAGAACUCCGAUUGCGAAGGCAGCAUACCGGCGGCGAUCUGACGCUGAGGCACGAAAGCGUGGGUAUCGAACAGGAUUAGAUACCCUUGUAGUC